UACGUAGGUGGCAAGCGUUGUCCGGAUUUAUUGGGUUUAAAGGGUGCGUAGGCGGCCCUGUAAGUCAGUGCUGAAAUAUCCCAGCUUAACUGGGAGGGUGGCAUUGAUACUGCGGGGCUAGAGUACAGAUGAGGUAGGCGGAAUUGACGGUGUAGCGGUGAAAUGCUUAGAUAUGACAUAGAACACCGAUAGCGAAGGCAGCUUGCUACACAAUCAUUGACACUGAGGCACGAAAGCGUGGGGAUCAAACAGG
This 253-nucleotide ribosomal RNA is filed under the name uncultured bacterium. RNAcentral describes it as "partial 16S ribosomal RNA". It matches the Rfam family "Bacterial small subunit ribosomal RNA", at positions 524 to 776 of the family's 1533-position model. The record is from RNAcentral.